CGACCAGGCCGGGCCCCUCUGGCAGCCGUAUGGCUGCGAUGUCGGACUGGAAUU
Molecule: non-coding RNA, 54 nt
Filed under: unclassified sequences
Description: terC RNA
Rfam family: terC RNA
Source: RNAcentral